AUUAUAAAUUCUAGGAUUUUAUCAUAUUAUGAUAGGAUUAAGAGAGAGAAAUAUACCUAACAUGCUCCGUAACAAAAAUUUUCAUGAAGCAGAAAGGAAAAUUCCCCUCAACUAUGCCUCAAGAUAUGGAGGCCUUCAAAAAUCUGCUUACUAACCCUUCAAGCUUGGUAUCCGGGGAUGCUAUCCAUUUCCAAGCAUAAUAAGACUGCAGCAGACUGGAGUAAUAAGGUUCUAAAUGUGAUCGCAAAGUACCCUUUUCCAUAAGGCUACAUAGUCUGUCGUAGAAAUUUAAGGAUCCGUCUUGCAUGUGCUAGUCGUGAUCUGGCUGAGUUCCUUGUUUCUCUAUUUUCUUCUGUUUUGCGCCUAACUUUAUGUGAAGUGCGGUGGUCUAUUCUAUGUAUUGAGUCUAGUUUUCAGUUUCCUCGUUUCCAUUUCCUUGUGGAGAUUUGCUUUACUUCAAUGGAAUGGAUGGAUUGUAUGACACAUCUUACUUUUCAGUGGACCAUGGGUGAACAUAUAUUGCUUUUACCCAUCUUUAUCCAUUCUCCUCCUGUUGCCUCUUCUUGUAAGUUAGGUUAAAGUGUUGCUUGCAAGUGACUUUUAAUGAGAUAAGUACCUGGGGAGAUAAUCUAAAUGCAAUUUAAGUACCUCGUUUUGUCCAUCUAUCCUGGAAAAGCAUGAGUGGAUAAUUUAGGCUUCCGGGCUAAUCAUUUCUGCACUUCUCUCUACGAGUUUAAUAUGCUGAUUAACUUUGUCUGUAAUCUGUAGAGCCAAAAUAUCCUACAGAAUGAUAGUGCAUUGUGAGGAGCGCGGCAAGAGUUCAAACAUAGCCAACCAUUUUGAAAGAUACCAGAUACCAUAGCUCGUGUAUACAUUUCAAUAACUGUUUGCCAACCCAGGAAACUACUUUUUGAUGUCAACUUUUAUGUGCUAUAGGUGAAUAGCUCUGGAGUGAUGCCCAUUUUAUUUUCUACAUCUUCAUUGCCUCUCCCCAGAGCUGUUGCAUGCUUCACGGUUUUAGCUGCACUGAAGAAAGCUGCUGUCGCUCUGAACCCAGGGGUUGCAGUGAACUGCUAUUCUUCACUAAUGCAUUAAAGUUGAGCUUUGCACAUGGAAUAUCUCAACGAGAUCAGUGCCAACUCCUGCACUAUAGAUGCAUGAAAGUGGAAACUUUGUUUAGCUCGAGGCAUAUGCUGGUGGUGGGCUGUUCAGUUUUUUCUCAUUUUGGACAUGUGAUGUGGUCUAAUAGUGAUAAAUAACUAUUGUAGGUUCUCUAGACCUUCCAACCAACAUACUAUUAAUAUCCUCUUUGUUUCACCUCAAGAAGAUCUCUCUCUGCUACCAGGUUCCAAAGUAACAUAUGUUGAAACUUCUAUUCGUAUGUGAUACUUUCUAUUCAUGCUUGAGUGGAAACUCCUCUGCUCGUACUGUAGGAAAGUGGAAACGUUGUUUAGCUCGAGGCAUAUGCUGAUGGUGGGCUGUUCUAUUUUUUCUCAUUUUAGACAUGUGAUGUGGUUUGAUAGUGAUAAAUAACUAUUGUAGAUUCUCUAGACCUUCCAACUAACAUGCUAUUGAUAGCCUUCUUCAA
This is an RNA transcript of Eucalyptus grandis, 1588 nucleotides long. RefSeq lists it as uncharacterized. The record is from RefSeq and is a predicted model, not a curated record. The transcript is spliced from 4 exons. NCBI's taxonomy places the organism in Eukaryota, Viridiplantae, Streptophyta, Magnoliopsida, Myrtales, Myrtaceae.